RNAcentral lists this ribosomal RNA (430 nucleotides) under uncultured bacterium. RNAcentral's name for it is "bacterial SSU rRNA". It matches the Rfam family "Bacterial small subunit ribosomal RNA", at positions 372 to 793 of the family's 1533-position model. The record is from RNAcentral.
UGGACGAAAGUCUGAUGGAGCAACGCCGCGUGAACGAUGAAGGCCUUCGGGUCGUAAAGUUCUGUUGUAAGGGAAGAACAAGUGCCGCAGGCAAUGGCGGCACCUUGACGGUACCUUGCGAGAAAGCCACGGCUAACUACGUGCCAGCAGCCGCGGUAAUACGUAGGUGGCAAGCGUUGUCCGGAAUUAUUGGGCGUAAAGCGCGCGCAGGCGGCCUCUUAAGUCUGAUGUGAAAGCCCCCGGCUCAACCGGGGAGGGCCAUUGGAAACUGGGAGGCUUGAGUAUAGGAGAGAAGAGUGGAAUUCCACGUGUAGCGGUGAAAAUGCGUAGAGAUGUGGAGGAACACCAGUGGCGAAGGCGACUCUUUGGCCUAUAACUGACGCUGAGGCGCGAAAGCGUGGGGAGCAAACAGGAUUAGAUACCCUGGUAG